GACGAACGCUGGCGGCAUGCCUAACACAUGCAAGUCGAACGAGACCUUCGGGUCUAGUGGCGCACGUGUGCGUAACGCGUGGGAACCUGCCCUUAGGUUCGGAAUAACUCCCCGAAGGGGGUGCUAAUACCGGUUAAUGUCUUCGGACCAAAGAUUUAUCGCCUUUGGAUGGGCCCGCGUUGGAUUAGCUAGUUGGUAGGGUAAAAGCCUACCAAGGCGACGAUCCAUAGCUGGUCUGAGAGGAUGAUCAGCCACACUGGGACUGAGACACGGCCCAGACUCCUACGGGAGGGAGCAGUGGGGAAUAUUGGACAAGGGGCGAAAGUCUGAUCCAGCAAUGCCGCGUGAGUGAUGAAGGCCGUAGGGUUGUAAAGCUCUUUUAGCCGGGAUGAUAAUGACAGUACCGGGAGAAGAAGCACCGGCUAACUACGUG
Molecule: ribosomal RNA, 433 nt
Filed under: uncultured bacterium
Lineage: Bacteria
Description: partial 16S ribosomal RNA
Rfam family: Bacterial small subunit ribosomal RNA
Source: RNAcentral